CAUCAGCGGUGUGCAGACGUGCAAAGUGUGCCAAUGGAAAAUUCUACUCGCCACAGAAAAUAGCGAGUCCCACAAGCAGGCAGGCCAGAGUAAUCCUGCCACCUGGCUCGGAUGGGUGCUGGAGGAGAUGUCCCAGAGGAAGGGCAAUGAAAGCCCCGGGGAGCAAUCGAGAGGUCCAACCUAAACGUGUAACCUGAGCACAA
This 203-nucleotide long non-coding RNA is filed under the name Gouania willdenowi (blunt-snouted clingfish). RNAcentral's name for it is "lncRNA (ENSGWIG00000021350.1)". The record is from RNAcentral. Lineage: Eukaryota; Metazoa; Chordata; Actinopteri; Blenniiformes; Gobiesocidae.